CAUUUCCCAAACUUUCCUCGGAGUCCAAACUGCUACAGAGUGGCAUUCACCCCCUCCUAUCCCGGCACGCGAUUUCUUUCCUUUCCUCUCUUCUCGGCCAAUCAAAGCGUUCUAAAUUGUAGAAGUCCCGCCCUCUUGUUUGACGCGGGCUUCCGGUGGUAAUUGGCGCUCCUGCCUGGUUUUUGGUUUAUGUUCUUCAGUUUGAGGAGGGAAGGAGAAGAAGUUGUUACGGAGGUGAUUGAAGAGGAUUAGAAGGAGAAACCUCGAGUCAGAGAAGACGCAGAUCUUUCUCCUGCACUUAUCAACAUGUGCUGAGCUGCUGGAACAUGGCUGACGGGCUCUACCGGCUGGACGAUGAAGCCUUCCCCGGGUUCCUCGCCCAGUCUCUGGACGGCUCCGGCGGCCGGCCCACCCUGGGGAACGUGAGCCUGGGCUCGGGGCCGGGUCUGCCCGUGGCCGCCUCCACGGUGGCUAAAGUUAGAGCGGGCUGCGGCAACAGAGGAGAAGAGGAGCUCUCGUUCCUGGAGGGCAGAGAGCUGCAGGAACGAGAAGGCUCACAUUCAUGCAUGGAAGAUCAGCCCAGGUUCACCCUGAGCUUCAAAGAUGAUCUGUGAGUAGCAAUCCUCCUCCUUUUUAGGAUUAUGAACAAUCGGAAUGAUGACAGCAACACUCAAUCAUUCUAAUGGUGUUUUCUAAAAUGUCAA
This 704-nucleotide long non-coding RNA is filed under the name Oryzias javanicus (javanese ricefish). Its description in RNAcentral is "lncRNA (ENSOJAG00000012960.1)". Lineage: Eukaryota; Metazoa; Chordata; Actinopteri; Beloniformes; Adrianichthyidae. The record is from RNAcentral.